Molecule: ribosomal RNA, 369 nt
Filed under: Triticum aestivum (bread wheat)
Lineage: Eukaryota; Viridiplantae; Streptophyta; Magnoliopsida; Poales; Poaceae
Description: partial small subunit ribosomal RNA
Source: RNAcentral
AUGGCUCUCUUCGAGGAGUUCUACGUGGGCUCCAUUGACAUAACCCGGCUUAACUACGGAAUCAUCACCAUCAUCCCCAAGGUACCUGGGGCCUCGGACAUCCGCCAGUUUCACCCGAUCACGGUGAUUAACGUGAUCUUCCGCAUCCUGGCGAAGGGGUACGCCAAUAGGGUGACCUCGCUGGCCUACCGUGUCACCCAUCCCAAUCAGUCGGCCUUCAUCCAAGGCCGAUAUAUUCUAGAUGGGGUUUUGGUCUUCCAUGAAGUCCUUCAUGAGGUGCGCGCCAAAAACCAGAAGGCGGUCUUCCUGAAAAUCGACUUCCAUAAAGCCUAUGACACGGUACAUUGGCCCUUCCUUCGGGAGGUUUGA